Molecule: ribosomal RNA, 478 nt
Filed under: Anelosimus taiwanicus
Lineage: Eukaryota; Metazoa; Arthropoda; Arachnida; Araneae; Theridiidae
Description: partial 16S ribosomal RNA
Rfam family: Bacterial large subunit ribosomal RNA (bases 215-478)
Source: RNAcentral
AAAUUUUUAUAAAUUAUACCUGCUCCAUGAAUCAUUAUAUUUAAUUUAAAUAUUUAUUUAUACUAUUUAAAUAGCCGCAAUUUAGUGCUAAGGUAGCAUAAUCAUUUGUUUUUUAAUUAAAAACUAGAAUGAAAGGUUAAACAUUUAAAUUUCUUUUUUUUAUUAAAAUCAUUUAAUUUAUAUUAAAUAUAAAAAUAUAUUUAUACUAAAAAAAGACGAUAAGACCCUAUUAAACUUAACUUAUGUUUAACUGGGGCAGUUUUUUAAAUAAAAUUUUAUUAAUAUUAUAUUUAUAAAAAUCUAAUUUAAUUAAAAUAAACAAGUUACUAUAGGGAUAACAGCGUUAUAUUUUUUACGAGUUCAUAUUUAAAAAAUAGAUUGCGACCUCGAUGUUGAAUUAUAUAUUCUUUAUAUUGCAUCAAAUAUAAAAGUAGGUCUGUUCGACCUUUAAAAUAUUACAUGAUCUGAGUUCAAACCG